GACGAACGCUGGCGGCGUGCUUAACACAUGCAAGUCGAACGGAAAGGCCCUGCUUGCAGGGUACUCGAGUGGCGAACGGGUGAGUAACACGUGGGUGAUCUGCCCUGCACUUCGGGAUAAGCUUGGGAAACUGGGUCUAAUACCGGAUAGGAGCCAUCUUUAGUGUGGUGGUUGGAAAGUUUUUUCGGUGUAGGAUGAGCUCGCGGCCUAUCAGCUUGUUGGUGGGGUAAUGGCCUACCAAGGCGGCGACGGGUAGCCGGCCUGAGAGGGUGUACGGCCACAUUGGGACUGAGAUACGGCCCAGACUCCUACGGGAGGCAGCAGUGGGGAACAUUGCACAAUGGGCGCAAGCCUGAUGCAGCGACGCCGCGUGGGGGAUGAAGGCCUUCGGGUUGUAAACUCCUUUCGCUAGGGACGAAGCUUUGUUGUGACGGUACCUAGAUAAGAAGCACCGGCUAACUACGUG
RNAcentral lists this ribosomal RNA (466 nucleotides) under uncultured bacterium. Its description in RNAcentral is "partial 16S ribosomal RNA". It matches the Rfam family "Bacterial small subunit ribosomal RNA", at positions 28 to 507 of the family's 1533-position model. The record is from RNAcentral.